This 77-nucleotide transfer RNA is filed under the name Acidiferrobacter sp. RNAcentral's name for it is "tRNA-Met". It matches the Rfam family "tRNA". Rfam says of the family: Transfer RNA (tRNA) molecules are approximately 80 nucleotides in length. Their secondary structure includes four short double-helical elements and three loops (D, anti-codon, and T loops). RNAcentral also lists the same sequence under 23 other names. Lineage: Bacteria; Pseudomonadati; Pseudomonadota; Gammaproteobacteria; Acidiferrobacterales; Acidiferrobacteraceae. The record is from RNAcentral.
GGGCCUGUAGCUCAGUUGGUUAGAGCAGUGGACUCAUAAUCCAUUGGUCGAAGGUUCGAGUCCUUCCGGGCCCACCA